Molecule: ribosomal RNA, 967 nt
Filed under: Arthrobacter sp. Ld5
Lineage: Bacteria; Bacillati; Actinomycetota; Actinomycetes; Micrococcales; Micrococcaceae
Description: bacterial SSU rRNA
Rfam family: Bacterial small subunit ribosomal RNA
Source: RNAcentral
GGCUAACUACGUGCCAGCAGCCGCGGUAAUACGUAGGGCGCAAGCGUUAUCCGGAAUUAUUGGGCGUAAAGAGCUCGUAGGCGGUUUGUCGCGUCUGCCGUGAAAGUCCGGGGCUUAACUCCGGAUCUGCGGUGGGUACGGGCAGACUAGAGUGCAGUAGGGGAGACUGGAAUUCCUGGUGUAGCGGUGAAAUGCGCAGAUAUCAGGAGGAACACCGAUGGCGAAGGCAGGUCUCUGGGCUGUAACUGACGCUGAGGAGCGAAAGCAUGGGGAGCGAACAGGAUUAGAUACCCUGGUAGUCCAUGCCGUAAACGUUGGGCACUAGGUGUGGGGGACAUUCCACGUUUUCCGCGCCGUAGCUAACGCAUUAAGUGCCCCGCCUGGGGAGUACGGCCGCAAGGCUAAAACUCAAAGGAAUUGACGGGGGCCCGCACAAGCGGCGGAGCAUGCGGAUUAAUUCGAUGCAACGCGAAGAACCUUACCAAGGCUUGACAUGAACCGGAAUGAUGCAGAGAUGUGUCAGCCACUUGUGGCCGGUUUACAGGUGGUGCAUGGUUGUCGUCAGCUCGUGUCGUGAGAUGUUGGGUUAAGUCCCGCAACGAGCGCAACCCUCGUUCCAUGUUGCCAGCGGGUUAUGCCGGGGACUCAUGGGAGACUGCCGGGGUCAACUCGGAGGAAGGUGGGGACGACGUCAAAUCAUCAUGCCCCUUAUGUCUUGGGCUUCACGCAUGCUACAAUGGCCGGUACAAAGGGUUGCGAUACUGUGAGGUGGAGCUAAUCCCAAAAAGCCGGUCUCAGUUCGGAUUGAGGUCUGCAACUCGACCUCAUGAAGUUGGAGUCGCUAGUAAUCGCAGAUCAGCAACGCUGCGGUGAAUACGUUCCCGGGCCUUGUACACACCGCCCGUCAAGUCACGAAAGUUGGUAACACCCGAAGCCGGUGGCCUAACCCCUUGUGGGAGGGAGCCGU